This 291-nucleotide ribosomal RNA is filed under the name uncultured bacterium. RNAcentral's name for it is "partial 16S ribosomal RNA". It matches the Rfam family "Bacterial small subunit ribosomal RNA", at positions 28 to 322 of the family's 1533-position model. The record is from RNAcentral.
GACGAACGCUGGCGGCGUGCUUAACACAUGCAAGUCGAGCGGAAAGGCCCUUCGGGGUACUCGAGCGGCGAACGGGUGAGUAACACGUGAGUAACCUGCCCUUCACUUUGGGAUAACCCUCGGAAACGGGGGCUAAUACCGGAUAUGACACACCGAUGCAUGUUGUGUGUGUGGAAAGAUUUUUUGGUGGGGGAUGGGCUCGCGGCCUAUCAGCUUGUUGGUGGGGUGAUGGCCUACCAAGGCGACGACGGGUAGCCGGCCUGAGAGGGCGACCGGCCACACUGGGACUGA